GGGGCUAUAGCUCAGUGGCAGAGCGCUUGCCUAGCAUGCAUGAGGCACAGGGUUCGAUCCUCAGCACCA
RNAcentral lists this transfer RNA (69 nucleotides) under Ictidomys tridecemlineatus (thirteen-lined ground squirrel). Its description in RNAcentral is "Spermophilus tridecemlineatus (thirteen-lined ground squirrel) tRNA". It matches the Rfam family "tRNA". Rfam says of the family: Transfer RNA (tRNA) molecules are approximately 80 nucleotides in length. Their secondary structure includes four short double-helical elements and three loops (D, anti-codon, and T loops). Lineage: Eukaryota; Metazoa; Chordata; Mammalia; Rodentia; Sciuridae. RNAcentral also lists the same sequence under 1 other name. The record is from Rfam by way of RNAcentral.